AUUUGAAAUCUGGCUCCCUUGGGCGCCCGAGUUGUAAUUUGUAGAGGGCGCUUUGGCGUCGGCACCGACCUAAGUUCCUUGGAACAGGACGUCGCAGAGGGUGAGAACCCCGUACGUGGUCGGCCGCCUUCGCCGUGUAAAGCCCCUUCGACGAGUCGAGUUGUUUGGGAAUGCAGCUCUAAAUGGGAGGUAAAUUUCUUCUAAAGCUAAAUAUUGGCCAGAGACCGAUAGCGCACAAGUAGAGUGAUCGAAAGAUGAAAAGCACUUUGGAAAGAGAGUCAAAAAGCACGUGAAAUUGUUGAAAGGGAAGCGCUUGCAGCCAGACUUGCCUGUAGUUGCUCAUCCGGGCUCUCGCCCGGUGCACUCUUCUGCGGGCAGGCCAGCAUCAGUCCAGGCGGUCGGAUAAAGGCCUCGGGAAUGUGGCUCUCUUCGGGGAGUGUUAUAGCCCGGGGUGCAAUGCGGCCAGCUUGGACUGAGGUCCGCGCAUUCGCUAGGAUGCUGGCGUAAUGGCUGUAAGCGGCCCGUCUUGAAACACGGACCAAGGAGUCUAACAUCUAUGCGAGUGUUUGGGUGUCAAGCCCGAGCGCGCAAUGAAAGUGAACGGAGGUGGGAACCCCUCGGGGUGCACCAUCGACCGAUCCUGAUGUCUUCGGAUGGAUUUGAGUAAGAGCAUAGCUGUUGGGACCCGAAAGAUGGUGAACUAUGCCUGAAUAGGGUGAAGCCAGAGGAAACUCUGGUGGAGGCUCGCAGCGGUUCUGACGUGCAAAUCGAUCGUCAAAUUUGGGCAUAGGGGCGAAAGACUAAUCGAACUAUCUAGUAGCUGGUUCCUGCCGAAGUUUCCCUCAGGAUAGCAGUAACGUUUUCAGUUUUAUGAGGUAAAGCGAAUGAUUAGAGGCAUGGGGGUUGAAACAACCUUCACCUAUUCUCAAACUUUAAAUAUGUAAGAAGUCCUUGUUACUUAAUUGAACGUGGACAUUUGAA
This 981-nucleotide ribosomal RNA is filed under the name Muritestudina chiangraiensis. Its description in RNAcentral is "partial 28S ribosomal RNA". It matches the Rfam family "Eukaryotic large subunit ribosomal RNA", at positions 113 to 1113 of the family's 3401-position model. The record is from RNAcentral. Lineage: Eukaryota; Fungi; Ascomycota; Dothideomycetes; Pleosporales; Testudinaceae.